GGUGGCUCAGUGGUAGAGCAUUUGCCUUGCAUGCAUGAGGCCCUGAGUUUGAUUCCUCAGCACCA
This 65-nucleotide transfer RNA is filed under the name Dipodomys ordii (Ord's kangaroo rat). It matches the Rfam family "tRNA". From Rfam's summary of the family: Transfer RNA (tRNA) molecules are approximately 80 nucleotides in length. Their secondary structure includes four short double-helical elements and three loops (D, anti-codon, and T loops). The record is from Rfam by way of RNAcentral. Lineage: Eukaryota; Metazoa; Chordata; Mammalia; Rodentia; Heteromyidae.